GAAGCUGGAAUCGCUAGUAAUCGCGGAUCAGAAUGCCGCGGUGAAUACGUUCCCGGGUCUUGUACACACCGCCCGUCACACCAUGGGAGUCGGAAAUGCCCGAAGCCGGUGACUCAACCUGCAAAGGAGAGAGCCGUCGAAGGCAGGUCUGAUAACUGGGGUGAAGUCGUAACAAGGUACC
This 181-nucleotide ribosomal RNA is filed under the name uncultured bacterium. Its description in RNAcentral is "partial 16S ribosomal RNA". It matches the Rfam family "Bacterial small subunit ribosomal RNA", at positions 1322 to 1500 of the family's 1533-position model. The record is from RNAcentral.